UACGUAGGGGCCGAGCGUUGUCCGGAGUUAUUGGGCGUAAAGCGCGCGCAGGCGGCCUCGCGCGCCCGACGUGAAAGCCCCCGGCUUAACCGGGGAGGGUCGUUGGGGACGGCGGGGCUUGAGGGCGGGAGAGGUCGGUGGAAUUCCCGGUGUAGCGGUGAAAUGCGUAGAUAUCGGAAGGAACAUCAGUGGCGAAAGCGACUUCCUGGACCAGUACCGACGUUCAGGCACGAAAGCGUGGGGAGCAAACAGG
Molecule: ribosomal RNA, 253 nt
Filed under: uncultured bacterium
Lineage: Bacteria
Description: partial 16S ribosomal RNA
Rfam family: Bacterial small subunit ribosomal RNA
Source: RNAcentral